GAGGGACAGGCUGCCAAGAGCCGGCGCUCUGCAGAAGUUGGACGCCGGGGUCCCCUGGCUCCGCGUCCCCGGAAGACUCCGGACCGGGGAUGGCGGAGGGGGCAACCGCAGGGGUCUUAAAGGGCCCGCGGGAUGCUUUUGGGUCGCGCUUUGAGUCCCGCGCCACCCUAAGCCGUGGCAACGCCGAUCACCUCCCCGCCAGGUGUCAGUCCUAGCGCCCUGCCGGACCGCGCCCUGGGGCCGGGACCGCCCGCAGGCUCCGUGCCCCCCAGCCGGCAGCCGCGGGGAACGCCCCCUGCAGCGCGGCCCAGAGCCGACCCUUUCCCAGGAGAGGUCGGGGUGUCCAGGGGCUGACAACGUCCCCGGAGAAUAAAGGGCCUGAUCUCAGAGCAUCAAAAUGGAUUUUCUCAACAAUUUCCUGCCUCUAAAUUAAAAUCUUGCCUUUAAAAGACUCGAAAUUAUCUGGAUCUGACAUCCUCCUUUUCGGGCCUGCUGAGUCACGGAAUAUUCUCCGUGCCAGAAUGACUCAGUUCACAGAAUCUGAGCCAGAAGAUCAUGAGUUUUAGUACGAGAUGGAACCUAGGCGCUUACCCAGUGCUGGUACGACAAGCAAAACGAGGAAGGGAGCAUGCUGCAAAAGUGGACGGCCUGAGGGUGGAGGUUUUUAAUUCUUUGAAGUUCUUAAGCAAAGUGGUUGAUCAGGAGACUUUUUUUUUUUAACUUCUCAAGAUCAUAAUAGUAUAGUGAGAAUAAUAAGUACCUGGGGGAAAAAAGACACCUGGUUUUGGACUCAGUAGUUCCGUUAAGAGAGGGAAGGCGGGGAUCUGAAAAAGUGUGUUGCUAUGGUUGGGAUUAGUGUUAACUCUAGGAGGACCUUAAGGAUAAUAGUCUGGUUGGCGGGGGGAAAGGGUCUAGGGGACUUGUCAAUAUGCUGAGCUUGCUUAGCAAGUCUGUGAAUCACUUAGAUUGUUCAUUUAUCUGAUGAGAUGGGUGGAAAUGAUGCAUGACUAAAAGAGUCUCAAACUCCUCAGCCUUUGGCACCUCCUCUUUGGGAAAAGAAAGUUGUGGAGUUGUUGGUACCAAUGUUUUAAUUAUUUUAUAUUUGAGUCCAAACAAAGUACAGUUGAACCUGAAACAACAUGGGUUCGAACUGUGCAGGUCCAUUUAUACAAGGAUUUCUUUCAGUAAAUAUAUUAGAAAGUUUUUUGAAAAUUUGCAACAAUUUGAAAGAACAUUUUAUUUUCCCUAGCUUUUUUUUUUUGUCACUUUUCUAACUUCCCUAGCUUACUUUUAAGAAUACAAUGUAUAAUAUACAUACACAAAAUAUGUGUUAAUUGACUUUAUGUUACCAGUAAGGCUUCCGGUCUGCAGUAGGCUAUUAGCAGUUAAGUUUUUGAGGGACUCAAAAGUUAUAGGUGAAUUUUUGACUGAGGUGAGGUGGAUGCCCCUAACCUCCACGUUGUUCAAGGGCCAAGUGUAUAUUCAUUUAUACCUAGAGGGGCUGAUUCUGUCCUUGAUUGUACUUGAGAACAAACAAGGGCAUAUAGGACAAAGAUAAGGAUAUUAGUUGUAAAUAAAGCUACACAUAUUUUUGAUAAACAUAUUUAAGUAAAUAUAUCAAUGCAUUUGCCUUACACAUUUUCAAUAUUUUAUUAGAUGUUGGCAAAUCAAACAGUGGUGUCCUUUUGUUUUCCACCAAGUCAAAGACCUCAAAGGCAGCAAAAUCAACAUACAUAUUACCUUUGUCAUUCCUCCCCUUGGGGUUCUAAUGUCCAAGGGUAACUUAAAGCUAUUAUGCUUAUCUUACCCAUGAUUUCAUGACCAGAACCUCAUCUGGUAUUUGUAAAGCCCAUAAAGAGAUUUUGAAUUAAUUUCUAAA
Manis javanica (Malayan pangolin) is the source of this 1879-nucleotide long non-coding RNA. RefSeq lists it as uncharacterized. The record is from RefSeq and is a predicted model, not a curated record. Lineage: Eukaryota; Metazoa; Chordata; Mammalia; Pholidota; Manidae.